This 456-nucleotide long non-coding RNA is filed under the name Panax ginseng (ginseng). Its description in RNAcentral is "long non-coding RNA (PGIN_LNC003259)". Lineage: Eukaryota; Viridiplantae; Streptophyta; Magnoliopsida; Apiales; Araliaceae. The record is from RNAcentral.
UCAUUUUUUCUUCUCUUAUUUCUCUCAUCUGAAAGGGGCGAGCUAGGUGCCAUCUUCAUCCGGAAAAUUCGUAUACAAAUCCGUCCCUCAUCCGAUUCUCAACAUGUGCUUCCAAAAGAAGCCCUAAAUCCUGGUAUGGGUAUUCCAAAUCAAGCCCUAAUUGAAAAUGUUCUCUCUCAUUUUCGUGUUUUCAGACAAACCAAAGCCCUAAUAGGAACGAAUCUGUGUUCGAUUUCUUCUGACAUCUGGGAUAAGCUUUUAAGGUGCGAUUUCUUCAGACAAAGCAAAGCCCUAAUAGGAACGAAUCUGCGUUCUUGAAACUGAUUUGUUUUAAUGUACUUUUUCCCUUUUCUUUGAAAUUGACUCAAUUUCAAAACAUAUGACAGAGAAUUUGAAAAAGUUGAAAUUGUCAGCGAAUUUGAAAUUUUUGAAAUUCCAGAAAUAUAUGCACAGGGU